RNAcentral lists this ribosomal RNA (381 nucleotides) under uncultured marine Chaetocerotaceae. RNAcentral's name for it is "SSU rRNA". It matches the Rfam family "Eukaryotic small subunit ribosomal RNA", at positions 587 to 972 of the family's 1831-position model. The record is from RNAcentral. Lineage: Eukaryota; Bacillariophyta; Thalassiosirophyceae; Chaetocerotales; Chaetocerotaceae.
AGCUCCAAUAGCGUAUAUUAAAGUUGUUGCAGUUAAAAAGCUCGUAGUUGGAUUUCUGGUGGGAGGGAACCGUCCGAUCUCAGAUUGGUGCGUGUUCCUCUCCGGCCAUCCUUGAGUCUAACCUCCUUGGCAUUAAGUUGUCGAGGUGGGGAUACUCAUCGUUUACUGUGAAAAAAUUAGAGUGUUCAAAGCAGGCUUAUGCCGUUGAAUAUAUUAGCAUGGAAUAAUAAGAUAGGACCUCGGUACUAUUUUGUUGGUUUGCGCACCAAGGUAAUGAUCAAUAGGGACAGUUGGGGGUAUUCGUAUUCAGUAGUCAGAGGUGAAAUUCUUAGAUUUACUGAAGACGAACUACUGCGAAAGCAUUUACCAAGGAUGUUUUCA